This 487-nucleotide ribosomal RNA is filed under the name Quadraceps strepsilaris. RNAcentral's name for it is "partial 16S ribosomal RNA". It matches the Rfam family "Bacterial large subunit ribosomal RNA", at positions 1825 to 2597 of the family's 2925-position model. The record is from RNAcentral. Lineage: Eukaryota; Metazoa; Arthropoda; Insecta; Psocodea; Philopteridae.
CUCCUUCUGAAAAAAUAGAAGGUUGGCCCUGCCCUAUGCUAAACUCUAGUAAAUGGCCGCAGUAUCUUGACUGUGCAAAGGUAGCAUAAUAACUUGACUCUUAAUUGGAGUCUGGAAUGAAAGGGUUGACAAGCUUCCAGCUUUCUUCUAAAAAGCUUCUAAAUUUUAGCUUCAGGUUAAAAUUCCUGAAUGAGGGAGAGGGACGAUAAGACCCUAUAGAUCUGGGCCUAUUUUUUUUCUAAGGAAAAGAGAUGGAAUUGUUUGGGAUGAAACGAAGUAUGAAUGAGAACACUCGUUAAUGAAAGUUUGAUUGAACAAAAGAAAGAACCUUAACUUAGAGGACAAAAGGAAAGUUACCUUAGGGAUAACAGCAAAAUCUCUCCCUUCAGUACUUAUGGGGGGAGAGGCUUUUGACCUCGAUGUUGAAUUAAGCUGUCCUCUUUACGUAGAAGGAAAGAGGGUUAGUCUGUUCGACUAUUAAAAGCUU